Molecule: long non-coding RNA, 403 nt
Filed under: Mytilus galloprovincialis (Mediterranean mussel)
Lineage: Eukaryota; Metazoa; Mollusca; Bivalvia; Mytilida; Mytilidae
Source: RNAcentral
CGUCCGUCGUCGUCGUCGUUAACUUUUUACAUUUUGAACUUCUUCUAGAGAACCACUGAAUGGAAUGAAACCAAACAUGGCAUGAAUGUUCCUUAUGAGGUGCUGACCAAGUGUUGUUACUUUGUAGCCAAUCCAUCAUCCAAGAUGGCCGCCAGCGGGGGACUUAGUUUAACAAAGGACCCUAUGGGAAAUGCAUACAAAUGACUUCUUUUAGAGAACUACUGAAUGGAAUGAAAUCAAACAUGGCAUGAAUGUUCCUAAUGUGGUGCUGACCAAGUGUUGUUACUUUGUAGCCGAUCUAUUAUCCAAGAUGGCCGCCAGCGGGGGACUUAGUUUAACAUAGGACCCCAUGGGAAAUGCAUACAAAUGACUUCUUUUAGAGAACCACUGAAUGGAAUAAAAC